GAUGAACGCUGGCGGCGUGCCUAAUACAUGCAAGUCGAGCGAACGGACGAGAAGCUUGCUUCUCUGAUGUUAGCGGCGGACGGGUGAGUAACACGUGGAUAACCUACCUAUAAGACUUGGAUAACUUCGGGAAACCGGAGCUAAUACCGGAUGAUAUUUUGAACCGCAUGGUUCAAAAGUGAAAGACGGUCUUGCUGUCACUUAUAGAUGGAUCCGCGCUGCAUUAGCUAGUUGGUAAGGUAACGGCUUACCAAGGCAACGAUGCAUAGCCGACCUGAGAGCGUGAACGGCCACACUGGAACUGAGACACGGUCCAGACUCCGACGGGAGGCAGAAGUAGGGACUCUUCCGAGAUGGGCGAAAGCCUGACGGAGCAACGCCGCGUGAGUGAUGAAGGUCUUCGGAUCGUAAAACUCUGUUAUUAGGGAAGAACAUAUGUGUAAGUAACUGUGCACAUCUUGACGGUACCUAAUCAGAAAGCCACGGCUAACUACGUG
This 497-nucleotide ribosomal RNA is filed under the name uncultured bacterium. RNAcentral describes it as "partial 16S ribosomal RNA". It matches the Rfam family "Bacterial small subunit ribosomal RNA", at positions 28 to 507 of the family's 1533-position model. The record is from RNAcentral.